RNAcentral lists this long non-coding RNA (771 nucleotides) under Oryza sativa Indica Group (long-grained rice). RNAcentral describes it as "lncRNA OsMH63_01G009240". The record is from RNAcentral. Lineage: Eukaryota; Viridiplantae; Streptophyta; Magnoliopsida; Poales; Poaceae.
ACAGAAGAGAAGAAGCAUCGGCAACAGAGCAGAAGCAGAAGCAGAAGGAAGGACGUGACAGGCAAAGGCAGCAGAUGCGAGGUCGCAAGUAAAGCAAGCGAGGACGGAAGGGUGCAGAAGAGACACAAGCAGGGAUACACACGAACAACCCUUCCUUCUUUUCCUUUGCUUUAUGUCCUCGAUCGGCCGACGCUGCAGCCUGACGCUUCGCUUGCCGCUGCCUUCCACCCGUGCCUGCCUGCCUGCACGCGAUCGAGUGCGAGAUCCUCGGAACUCAUCGCACGCUGCUGCUGUGCUUGCGGUUUCGGCGGAGUUGGUCAAGUAGGGGAGUACGAGCGCUGCCACAGCGUACGUACGCUUCUGCCGGAUUUGUGUUUUCUGCCGGCCGGCCGGCCGGCCAGCCUGGGCGGUGGGCUCGAGCUCGGCGAUACAAAUCCACCAACUAGGACCUUGGCGAUGGUAGGGACAUCGAGCGGGAACGGGCUUAGCAACGGAGACGACAACUACGGCAGCUCUAUAUUCUCUCUCAAAUCCCCUCUGGCGUGGACCCAGCCGCUGCCUCCCCUCCGCACAGGAUCAUCUACCAUGCGGCGCUGCGACGGGAUCGAUCUGCCCCUAGGUGACCCUACGACGGACGGAUCCACCGCCACCAUCAGGGUGUGGAGGGGCAGUGCUAGAGGUGGUGGAGGCGCGAGAAGAGGCAACGACAGCCUCGAUGAUGAUGAGCUAUUGGGACUCGGUGAUGGAGCCACCGCUGAUGAGCGGCGAUAA